RNAcentral lists this ribosomal RNA (251 nucleotides) under uncultured bacterium. Its description in RNAcentral is "partial 16S ribosomal RNA". It matches the Rfam family "Bacterial small subunit ribosomal RNA", at positions 524 to 773 of the family's 1533-position model. The record is from RNAcentral.
UACGUAGGCAGCGAGCGUUGUUCGGAGUUACUGGGCGUAAAGGGUGUGUAGGCGGUUGUUUAAGUUUGGUGUGAAAUCUCCCGGCUCAACUGGGAGGGUGCGCCGAAUACUGAGCGACUAGAGUGCGGGAGAGGAAAGUGGAAUUCCUGGUGUAGCGGUGAAAUGCGUAGAUAUCGGGAGGAACACCUGUGGCGAAAGCGGCGCACUGGACCAUAACUGACGCUGAUGCGCGAAAGCGUGGGGGAGCAAAC